Molecule: long non-coding RNA, 901 nt
Organism: Sapajus apella (tufted capuchin)
Lineage: Eukaryota; Metazoa; Chordata; Mammalia; Primates; Cebidae
Exons: 3
Source: RefSeq, a predicted model, not a curated record
GAGGCCACCUGCUCUGUACAUCCAGGGUGGCAAGGGCUACCGUUGCGGACAGGGAAGCCGAGGCCAGGAGAGGUCGAAUCUAGUUCAAGUCGCUCAACCUGUUUCUUGGUUAAAGCCAGAGUUCUGAAUUAACUCUGUAUUUGUUGUUGAGAGGCCCACAGUGAGGGGUCCAGAUCUCCCAGUCACCUUUUGGAAGGGCAAGAACCAUGUCAUCAGGCCUGCCGUCUCCCCAUCGCCACGGGCUCGUCCCCCAUCAUACUGCGUGACCUACCCUGCACAGAGGAAGAGGCUUUUGAGAAGGCCUUGGAGGAUGGGAGCAUUUCAACACAUGGAGGUUUGAGAUCAGAAGGGAGAAGGAAGACAACAAUGCAAAAGGGGAUGUUUUUGAGAAGUGUUGCUUGAUGAUGCAUUUUAGGUUUCACCAUGUUGGUCAGACUGGUCUCGAACUCCUGACCUCAGGUAAUCCACCUGCCUCAGCCUCCCAAAGUGCUGGGAUUACAGGCAUGAGCCACCACACCUGGCCAAUUAGGCCUCAGUGUGCAGACAUUAAUCAGUGGUUUUAAUGUCAACAUUUUACCUUUAUUUAUUUUCUUCCUAACCUAUAUGUCAUUAUUGGCAUUGUUUUAUUGCUGUAUACAUUUUGCACUCCAGAUGACAUUAUUAUUUCUGUUUUUACAUAGCUGAUAAUCAUUUUCAUUUACCUACAUGUUUACCAUUUAAAUUUUCCUUUAUUCUUUCUUCUCUCUCUGACCAUUCAUCUGGGACCAUUUUUUCUGCCUGAAGAAAAUCCUUCAGGCAGAAAUUUCCUUUAGUGUGGGUCUACUAGAAACAAAAUCUUUCAGUUUUUGUUUGAAAAUAUCUUUAACUUUAUUCUUUUUUUUUUUUUUUUUUUUUGAGACAG